This 487-nucleotide long non-coding RNA is filed under the name Mytilus galloprovincialis (Mediterranean mussel). The record is from RNAcentral. Lineage: Eukaryota; Metazoa; Mollusca; Bivalvia; Mytilida; Mytilidae.
GAGAAAAUGACAAGCAAGACAAUGCCAAAAAUGUGGGUCAACCUGGCUGAACUUGAUCAUCAGAGGACUCCUUAUUGGAGUUUAUAUUGCUUUUUAGUGACCCUUUUUACUAUUUUUUGCUUUUUAGAAGCUAUAUUAGAUAGAAUUAAACUAUAAAAGUCAAAAUAAUUAACAAGUCAAGAUCUACAAAUAAGUCAGAUGACCGAAAUCGUAAGGUGAAUCCUUAUUAAAGUUAUUGCCCUUUAAUUACGAUUUUCUAACUUUUUGCUAUUUGUUUUUUUUAUAUGGGAAACUAUAGCAGAUAGACAAAAACUAUAUAUUAUAUAUAUAUUAUAGCAAAACUGAUGAGCAAGACAUUAUCUACUAAAGAGCCAUCAUGGCAGAAAUCUUUCUAGUUGACUUGUUCUUGGAGUUAUUUUAAGAUGUUGAGCCUAUUAUCUCGAAAAGUGUAAUAGAUGCAUACAAAAAUAGAUAGGAACUUGAAAAA